Non-coding RNA from Acanthosepion pharaonis, 114 nucleotides. Lineage: Eukaryota; Metazoa; Mollusca; Cephalopoda; Sepiida; Sepiidae. The record is from the annotation of a GenBank genome assembly.
UUACGGCCAUAUUAUGUUGAAACACCGGUUCCAGUACGACCACCGACGUUAAGAAACGUCGAGCCUCGUCAGUAACUGAAUGGGUGAUCGUUUGGGAAUAACAGGUGUUGUAAG